This is a long non-coding RNA of Harmonia axyridis, 597 nucleotides long. RefSeq lists it as uncharacterized. The transcript is spliced from 2 exons. Lineage: Eukaryota; Metazoa; Arthropoda; Insecta; Coleoptera; Coccinellidae. The record is from RefSeq and is a predicted model, not a curated record.
UCUUACUUUUUUCCUAUUGUUUAUCGCUUGUUUUUGUUGAUAUUCGCAAAUAUAUAUCAUAGACGGAAUAAUUUGAAUGCAUUCAAUCGCCACUUUCAAGUUGAAUUAUAUCUGAUAAAUCAACAAUGACUUUACUUACUCAGUCUACCUAUUCGAAUUAUAACGUUUGAUGGCAUCACCUGAAAAAAAAACAAGAGAUUUGUGCCAAAUAUAAAACCAUGUCACUUAAACAGACUCACAAAUCAGUCAAGAAUUUACCGUUGAAACGGUUGAAAGACCAGAAACUGUGAUAUCCAUUUUAUAAGGAUUUUUUUAUUCCCUCUCCAUUCAAUAGAAUAGCAAAUUAAGAAAUAUUCAGUAUUCACUAACAAGAAUUGAAGGACUCAAUCUAGAUUUACAGUCAAUUUUUCUAUGAAGAAUUGAUUCAGGUAGGUACUGAGUGAAAUAAAAAUGCAAUGGAUUAACUCCUAUUAUUUCGGUAAUACUCUCAGAGUAAAGAACAUAUGUUUAUUACUCUUACAAUUAGGACCAACGAUAGAAAAAAAGAGAGGCAUAUUAUAAUUGAUGACUUUGAUGAAAUAUAUUAUACUGAUUAUU